Molecule: long non-coding RNA, 936 nt
Organism: Ictalurus punctatus (channel catfish)
Lineage: Eukaryota; Metazoa; Chordata; Actinopteri; Siluriformes; Ictaluridae
Source: Ensembl
CUCUCUCUCUCUCUCUCUCUCUCGCUCUCUCACACACACACACACACACACACACAGACUUGGCUCAUAAAGUAGCAAGUUUAACUGCAAGAGUGCAAGAUUAACACUGGCAUUAAUUAAUUUAUUUCACGGCUUUAUAGAAUUCCAUUCAGGGAGAUUGACUCAGUCCCGGACUCACAGGAGUAACAUAAUUGGACAUAAGAGAUUAUGCUUUUUCAGAUAUUAUCUUUAUUUUUUUUCAAAAAAGGUUUCAAAAAUCAAAGUGCAUGACAAACGGAGUUAUUGACUCCCAAAAGAAAGAACCGAUUCUGAACAGCCUGAAACAAGUCGUUAGUAAUUCAACACUUACUUCCUGUACAAACCUACAUAGGGUCUUCAUUGGCGGCUCGUGAAACAACGUGACUUUGACCCGCCCUCAGACACUACAGUUGAUGUUGCAUCCUGAAAGGGUUAGGUUCAUGUCUAGAAGAUGUUGUUUUCUGCGCUGCAAAAGCAAAACCACUUUGCAUGGAUUCCCAAAGGAUGAUGGUGUAAAGCGUCAGUGGUUAAAAUUCAUUUUAAACUGAUACCACAGCAGUUCAACGCUGACCUUCGUUUGUGUUCCCAUCAUUUCACUGAUGACUGCUUCUCAAAUCGAGUCAAUGCGGGAUUUGCGAAACGAUUAUUGAUUAAAGAUUCGCCAGUACCCACUUUAUUUGGACCAUUUUGUGCCUCUGGAUCACAACCUAGACGCAGGAGAGCCUGGAGUUUAUACCAAGGAACUCGGGGCAAGGGAACAAUCUGGAAAUGCAACAUGUCUUUGGACUGGGUGGAGGAAACCGGAGUACCCGGAGUAAACACCCUGAAGCAUGGGGAGAACAUGCACACUCCAUGCAUGCAGGUUAGAUGUAGGAAUCGUACCCCCAACCCCAGAGUGUGAGGCAAACAUGCUACCCA